AAAUUAUUUUGGGAAAAGAGUCUUAAUUGACAGCAUCCUCACAACAGGCCUUACUUUUGGCUGAGUUUAAGAGGCACUCUGGCACCAUGCAUAUCUGUGGCUUUGUGGAAUCAGGCUGGGUUCCCCCAAGGUGAGGAUGCUCACGUUCCCAAGUGAUCUGUCUUCUGGUGGACCUUGGGCUGUCGGGACCUGACUGACAUCCUCCCCAGGACACUUUCCUGCCCUGUGGUUUUAUUCUUUUAAUCAUGUUCUUGCAUCCAAUUUUCCCAGUAAAUGUGUGCAGUCAUAUGAACUAGGUCAUAGGCCAGAUCUGCUCCAGGCCUGCAUGGCACCGCUGCAUAUUUUGCCUCCUACAUAAAUGAAAAGUGUGGCCGGCCAUUAUGUGAGGAGUGACAGAAGAGAAGGAAAAAGAGAACUGAAAGGAAACGAACAGUAUUUGAUCAUCGACUACAUUUUAUUCUAACACCUGAAUGGAGAAGAUGGAAGAAAUGGAAGGACUGCAUUUAUUCUGGGGAAAACGCUGCUGGGCUGAGGGCCUCCGUUGGAAGCCACCUUUAAAUCCUAGAGGACGCCUGAAGUUCCUCGACAUGUGGUCUCCCCAACAUGGGAUCCUCCUUCCUUACAGAAGCAACAGAGAGAGGACCUCCUGGCAGAACGGGUGUUACAAUUGUAUGUAAAAUAAUAACAUCCACAUGCUCACACAUGUCCUGUGACCCUCAUGUAUUCUAUCCGUUAUAAGCAAAUUAAAAGUUCUUUCCACUUUCAGCAGGGAGAAAAUUAUACACCAAGAAGUGGGAACCCUGGGGCCACUUUCAUGCCUGUCACUAGGGAGCAGGGAAGGGCUGACUACAAAUUUUAGAGGAGAUCUAGAAGGGUGUGGUGUAAUGGCUUUCAUGGGGUUGGGCACUUCAAGGAGAAAGAUGUGCAGUAGAUUGAGUGAUGAGAGGAUCUCUCCCUGAUGAGCUUAGCUAGAACAACUUUAGUGGAGGGGUGGAGGUGAAAUCGCAUUACAGCAUGUUGAGAUAUGGAUGGGAAGUGAAGACUUGCAGAGGAGAAUUCAAUUUCUCUUUCAAAAUUUUCUAUUUACAGAUCAAAUGAGUAAGACUAAAAUUGUAUCAAAAUCAGUUUUAAAAAUCAAUUUUAUCUAUUGAAAUAAGGAGAUUCAGGAAAGCACUAAUUUGGAAACAUGAAAGCCAAUAUUUUGCAUUAAAAUUACUUACAAUAUUUAAGGACUUGGCUCUUCAGAUUUGGAAAGUUUAUUGGACUAGAGGGAUAUAUUGGUUUUGAUCACAUGGUCUGCCAUUUAAUUUUUGUGAGAUUCUACAAAACCCACUGGCCUUUUGGGGCCUUCGUUUCCGUUCCGUAAAAUAGAGAGAUACAGUAUAUUCAAAGAGUUAGAAUUUUGAGUCUCCUUGAGUUUCAAAAUUUUGUGAUGUUGUGGUUCUUUUAUAACUUCACAUGUUCUUGUUCACAGAAUCAGGGCAAAAUUUACAAUUCUCUAAGAGAUUUUAAUUCUAGAGAGGUGUGUUUCAUAGUACAGUAAAAGCUGGAAUACUGCCAUGAAGCCACAGCGUCUCCAGUCAACUGCAGCCUUCACAAAAGCUGAGGAUGAGUUUUCUGUGCUUUGCCCUCUACUGAGAGUGGAUUAAAGCUUUGAGAUGCAGCAGGUCUUGUUCAGGUCAGUUACUGUGACACAUUGCGGGUCAAAGCAUGCUUUUUUCAUAUCAUGAUUCUUUUUUAUCAACUGACAGUAAAUGGAAGCAAAUUCUUCCUAGCCUAAACAGUAUUACAAAAACAGAAAAGAACAUGCAGAAGACGGUUGGAACAAUAAACGCAAAUAUACCCACCUUCCCUCUUACUGAAAUUCUAACUGGCCUCUGG
This 1881-nucleotide long non-coding RNA is filed under the name Callithrix jacchus (white-tufted-ear marmoset). Its description in RNAcentral is "lncRNA (ENSCJAG00000072055.1)". The record is from RNAcentral. Lineage: Eukaryota; Metazoa; Chordata; Mammalia; Primates; Cebidae.